GUAGGUGGCAAGCGUUGUCCGGAAUUAUUGGGCGUAAAGCGCGCGCAGGCGGUUCUUUAAGUCUGAUGUGAAAGCCCACGGGCUCAACCGUUGAGGGUCAUUGGAAACUGGAGAACUUGAGUACAGAAGAGGAAAGCGGAAUUCCACGUGUAGCGGUGAAAUGCGUAGAGAUGUGGAGGAACACCAGUGGCGAAGGCGGCUUUCUGGUCUGUAACUGACGCUGAGGCGCGAAAGCGUGGGGAGCAAACAGGAUUAGAUACCCUGGUAGUCCACGCCGUAAACGAUGAGUGCUAAGUGUUAGGGGGUUUCCGCCCCUUAGUGCUGCAGCUAACGCAUUAAGCACUCCGCCUGGGGAGUACGGCCGCAAGGCUG
This 372-nucleotide ribosomal RNA is filed under the name uncultured organism. RNAcentral's name for it is "partial 16S ribosomal RNA". It matches the Rfam family "Bacterial small subunit ribosomal RNA", at positions 527 to 896 of the family's 1533-position model. The record is from RNAcentral.